AUUGAACGCUGGCGGAAUGCUUUACACAUGCAAGUCGAACGGCAGCACGGGUGCUUGCACCUGGUGGCGAGUGGCGAACGGGUGAGUAAUACAUCGGAACGUACCCAGUCGUGGGGGACAACGUAGCGAAAGUUACGCUAAUACCGCAUACGUCCUGAGGGAGAAAGCGGGGGACCGUAAGGCCUCGCGCGAUUGGAGCGGCCGAUGGCGGAUUAGCUAGUUGGUGGGGUAAAGGCCUACCAAGGCGACGAUCCGUAGCGGGUCUGAGAGGACGGCCCGCCACACUGGAACUGAGACACGGUCCAGACUCCUACGGGAGGCAGCAGUGGGGAAUUUUGGACAAUGGGCGAAAGCCUGAUCCAGCCAUUCCGCGUGAGUGAAGAAGGCCUUCGGGUUGUAAAGCUCUUUCGGCAGGGAAGAAACGGCUUGGGAUAAUACCCCGGGCUAAUGACGGUACCUGAAGAAGAAGCACCGGCUAACUACGUGUCAGCAGCCGCCGUAA
Molecule: ribosomal RNA, 502 nt
Filed under: uncultured bacterium
Lineage: Bacteria
Description: partial 16S ribosomal RNA
Rfam family: Bacterial small subunit ribosomal RNA
Source: RNAcentral